RNAcentral lists this ribosomal RNA (245 nucleotides) under uncultured Devosia sp. RNAcentral's name for it is "partial 16S ribosomal RNA". It matches the Rfam family "Bacterial small subunit ribosomal RNA", at positions 524 to 768 of the family's 1533-position model. The record is from RNAcentral. Lineage: Bacteria; Pseudomonadati; Pseudomonadota; Alphaproteobacteria; Hyphomicrobiales; Devosiaceae.
UACGAAGGGGGCUAGCGUUGCUCGGAGUCACUGGGCGUAAAGCGCACGUAGGCGGCUUUCUAAGUCAGAGGUGAAAUCCUGGAGCUCAACUCCAGAACUGCCUUUGAUACUGGAGAGCUAGAGUCCGGAAGAGGUGAGUGGAAUUGCGAGUGUAGAGGUGAAAUUCGUAGAUAUUCGCAAGAACACCAGUGGCGAAGGAGGCUCACUGGUCCGGUACUGACGCUGAGGUGCGAAAGCGUGGGGAG